Molecule: long non-coding RNA, 273 nt
Filed under: Rattus norvegicus (Norway rat)
Lineage: Eukaryota; Metazoa; Chordata; Mammalia; Rodentia; Muridae
Description: long non-coding RNA NONRATT013241
Source: RNAcentral
CAAUUAAAGAGCAUCCCUUUGUGAGUCCUGUUGACAAAUCUUCUGUCCUCAUGUCUGUUGACAGUGCAAACAGUACGAUUUCUGCUUGUAACAUAAGCAUGUUGAAAUCCAUCCAGGGAUCCGACGCUCCGUGCAUAGCCCUUGUACCAAAAUGUGUCAACAGGACUCCUAUCCCUGCUGCUCCAGAAGGUACUGGACAGUCUAACUCCAUGGAUGGGAAGGCCCUGCUUGUACCCAGUAGCAAGGCUGCUAACCUAAUGUCCAAUCAGUACA